AAAAUCCGUCGACUUUUAAAAUCGUGAGGGUUCAAGUCCCUCUAUCCUGGUUCAAGUCCCUCUAUCCCCA
RNAcentral lists this transfer RNA (70 nucleotides) under Gnidia aff. viridis Beaumont s.n. RNAcentral's name for it is "tRNA-Leu(UAA)". Lineage: Eukaryota; Viridiplantae; Streptophyta; Magnoliopsida; Malvales; Thymelaeaceae. The record is from RNAcentral.